CGGGGAUGACAUGUGGUUAGGGGUGAAAUGCCAAACGAGUUUGGAGAUAGCUUGUUCUCUCCGAAAUAACUUUAGGGUUAGCGUGUGGUGAUGACGACCGGAGGUAGAGCACUGAAUGGGCUAGGGGGCUGUGAGCUUACCGAACCCAAUCAAACUGCGAAUGCCGGUCGGUGAACCAUGCAGUCGGACGACUGGAGAUGAGUUCAGCCGUCGAGAGGGAAAGAACCCAGACCCCCGGUUAAGGUCCUGAAGUUCAUGCUCAGUGGGAAACGAUGUGGUCGUGUUGAGACAGCCAGGAGGUUGGCUUAGAAGCAGCCAUCCUUGAAAGAGUGCGUAACAGCUCACUGGUCGAACGCGACUGCGCGGAAAAUGGAACGGGGCUGUAAGCAUGACACCGAAACCAGGGACUUGCGUAAGCAAGUGGUAGGAGAGCGUCCCCACAGCGGUGAAGUCGCACGGGCAACGUGCGGUGGAGUGGUGGGGAGUGAGAAUGCGGGCAGUGAGUAGCGAG
This 511-nucleotide ribosomal RNA is filed under the name uncultured bacterium. Its description in RNAcentral is "bacterial LSU rRNA". It matches the Rfam family "Bacterial large subunit ribosomal RNA", at positions 799 to 1313 of the family's 2925-position model. The record is from RNAcentral.